AGUGGUUGACGGGUGUUUAAUUGUGGGAACAUAUCCUUUCCUGCUCUUUAGAUCCUUUCUUGAGGGAUGGGAGUGGCAUACGCCCUACGGGGGAAAGAUUUAUCGGGGAAGGAUUGGCCCGCGUUGGAUUAACUAGUUGGUGGGGUAAAGGCCUACCAAGGCGACGAUCCUUUAUUGGUCUGAGAUGAUGAUGCCCACAUUGGGACUGAGACACGGCCCAAACUCCUACGGGAGGCAGCAGUGGGGAAUAUUGGACAAUGGGCGCAAGCCUGAUCCAACCAUGCCGCGUGAGUGAUGAAGGCCUUAGGGUUGUAAAGCUCUUUCACCGAUAAAGAUGAUGACCGUAGUCGGAGAAGAAGCCCCGGCUAACUUCGUGCCAGCAUCCUCGGUAAUACUAAGGGGGCUAGCGUUGUUCGGAAUUACUGGGCGUAAACCGCACUUAAGCAGAUAUUUCAGUCAGGGGUGAAAUCCCGCAGCUCAACUGCGUAACUGUCUUUGAGACUGGGUAUCUUGAGUAUGGAGGACGUAAGUGGGAGUCCGAGUGCAGAGGUGAAAUUCAUAUAUAUUCUGAGGAACAGCAGUCCCGAGGGGCGGCUUACUGGUCCAUUACUGACGCUGCAGGAUGCGAAACUGUGCCGGAACGGCACAAGGAUUCACAUACUCUCGGUAGUGCACUACAUGAGAUAUUUAAUCUUAUUCCGUCUCGCGCAGUCUACUCGGUCCGUGAGCGCAGUAAUGACACCUGAUAGUCGCCCUGGGCAGUGGGGGGUGCUGCAUAUCACUCGAGGAUAUUCUGUGGGGGCGGCAUUUCAGUGAAGUCAUGCUGUCUAAUGGUACCACUCCCAGAGGCAUUCACUAUGACUGCGGGUUGCACCGCUGGAUGAAAUUCUCAUAUGUCUGUACGCCCAAAGAUUGCAAGCUGUCUCACUUGUAUACCGGGUAGUGAUCAGUUCGGGACUACUAGCUGUAUU
Molecule: ribosomal RNA, 971 nt
Filed under: Rhizobium sp.
Lineage: Bacteria; Pseudomonadati; Pseudomonadota; Alphaproteobacteria; Hyphomicrobiales; Rhizobiaceae
Description: bacterial SSU rRNA
Rfam family: Bacterial small subunit ribosomal RNA (bases 1-722)
Source: RNAcentral